This is a long non-coding RNA of Pezoporus occidentalis (night parrot), 2331 nucleotides long. RefSeq lists it as uncharacterized. The record is from RefSeq and is a predicted model, not a curated record. The transcript has 2 exons. Lineage: Eukaryota; Metazoa; Chordata; Aves; Psittaciformes; Psittacidae.
GUGCACUGAGUUGAGUGAAAAUGGGCUUCCCCUCAUAAAGGUGAUGCCCACCAUGCUGCCACUGAAGCAGCAUGGCAGAAGAAGUGGUUGUGGAAGCCACUGUGGGAGGAAAGCGGGAAUGACUCUCUGGAAGACAUGUCAAAGGCUCAUUAGAAUGACAGAGCUUCUCUGGCUCUGGACACUGUGGUUUUUCCAGGGUUAUUUAUGAAGAAGGUGUGGCCAGACAAAUGCUGGAGCAAGGGAAACUGUCCAACAGAACAAGAUGUUCUCCUGGCACAGUGGGAAACCUGAUGCUUCUUUCAAGAGUCAGUGGAUAAGACCAACCUUAAACCUGUGCAGCAGGGAGGACUUCCACACAAGGAUGCAUUUUUUGCACCUAGGAAGUCACUGAUGUUUUCCAUGUGUCGCAGUGUUGCCAUGAACCUGUAUUUGGUGUCUCUGCUUGUUCCACUGCGCUGAAUUGAGAAAUGGACGUGGUCCGUAGCUCCUGUUAGAUUAAACUGUUCAGACCACUUGGCUCUGUUGGUUUUGGCAAACUUACCUAGAGUCUUGCAAGGGCCAGGUUCACCCCCACAUAUCCAGAUCAGCAAAACGUUUGCUGUUCUCUGAAGCAAUUGCUGGUGAUGACAUAUUUUGUGACAGGAAAUCAUUGCAAAAUGCUUGGUUCUCAAGAUGAAAACCAUGCAUCCAGCUCAGAAAAAUAAAUGCGACCGGUAUGUUCUAAACAUAGAUUUCUUCAGAUUUUGUUCUAGGACAAAAAUCAACCCCACUUUUCAGGACUUAUUGUUCUAAUCAUUAACGCCUGGGCAAUCAGUACAUCUGUUACUGUUACAAUCUCUGAUUUUCCACUGGAAAAAAAAAAAAGAGAAAAGUUAAAGUUUAACCACAGCCAUUGAGUUUGCCCACGCCAAUCAAACAGGAGACAAGGCAUUACAAUAUCUCAGUAACUUGUUCCGUGGAUAAUUCCCCUGGCAAUAUUAAGGAAUUAAAUGCAAGACUGGUAGAUCCAUUAGUAUUGUUUAGAUUUGCAAAGCAUAACAGAAGUUCAAACUGCCUUGAAUGACUGCCUCUUUACGAGGCUACUGGAGGUAGCCCUCUCACCAUGGCUCCUGAUGGAAUGACCAAGGAAGAGCUGCGAGGUAAGCAAACACAACAUCUUCCUACAGAACACCCAAAAAGGAAGCAAUAGAGAAUGACAAGGCAGGAGUUCCCUGUGCAGGAACAUGUCUACGGGUGCAUGUUGGAGCAGACCCGCUCAGCGUCUGAUUAAGAUAUUUGAAGUUUAGGGUGAUAUAUGAAAAGUAAACAGACAAAUGAAAAGCCUUACACGAACAAAGCACACCCCACCACCCCCCUUCCGCUGAGCUCCUUAAAGCUUUGUUCUACCAGGGAAUAGUACCAGUUUCCCAAUUCACUGCCACCUUACGGCAUUUCAGAGAGAUGACACUUCAGUAAUUCCUAUUGGAUGCUUCCUAUUUUCAAGCAGCCUCGCUGGGAACUCGGUUGUUACAGAAACACGGCAGCUGUAAACCUGCCCCUUGCAGCCAGGUUUGGAACAAUAUCAGUGCCUGAGACGCUGGAUUAUACAAGCUUGUGAAAACCGAUCAUUAAAACGUCAAUUCUAUUUAUAUUUGCAGAUUCUCAAGGGAGGUCAUUUCAUCAGCCAAGAGGCUGAAAAUAAAGAUGAACUUUGCAAUGUUGUCAAAAGAGAACCUUUCAGUCUAAAAAAAAGACUCAUGCCUCUCCCGAAUGAUUUUAAUUGUCAGCCCAGUUUUGCAAUGGAGGAUGAAAGAUUAACAGAUGCCCUUAUCACGUGUUGAGGGUUUUUCUGAGAGUAGACUUAGCUAAGGGAAGAAUCUGUGAGAAGACUAACAGAAAUGGAAGAUGCUUUGUAGUUUUCCCACCCCUUCAACUACAUAUAAUCCUCCUUUAAGCACACUUGUGUGGUUUCCUAGUCGAUGAGCAGACACUAGACUUGAAUGGACAGGCUUUGGAGAGUUGGUUGGUUAAUUAUUACUUGGAAAUGUGGGCAGGAUUGCCUAAUAGGAAACAGAGCAGCUGGGAUAUUUGUCCUGUGCAUUCCCCAAGUGCAUGGAUAGACUUGGCAUUCAGAAAAGCAACAUUAGCAGCAACCAAGAGUUCUGGGCUUGAUACGGGUUGUUUUGGUACUGAAGAGGAAACUGGGUGAUUUUAGGGAAGGGUUAUACCAUAUACAGGAGGACAAGCAUAAAGCUGUUUUCCUGAGGUAAACCUGUUCUCUGUAAGUGAAUGAAAUUGGUUUCCAUCUUCAGGUUGUACACUCGUUAUAAAGCUGGAAGGAAUAUUUUUCAA